RNAcentral lists this ribosomal RNA (1306 nucleotides) under uncultured bacterium. Its description in RNAcentral is "bacterial SSU rRNA". It matches the Rfam family "Bacterial small subunit ribosomal RNA", at positions 28 to 1381 of the family's 1533-position model. The record is from RNAcentral.
AACGUACGCUGGCGGCACGCCUAACACAUGCAAGUCGAACGAAGUAGCAAUACUUAGUGGCAGACGGGUGAGUAACAUGUAGGUAUCUGCCCUUUGGCCUGGAAUAACACGAGGAAACUUGUGCUAAUACCGGAUAAGUCUUUACGGAGAAAGCUUUAUGCACCAUUGGAUGAGCCUGCACUUGAUUAGUUUGUUGGUGGGGUAAUGGCCUACCAAGACUGUGAUCAAUAGCUGAUUUGAGAGGAUGAUCAGCCACAUUGGGACUGAGACACGGCCCAAACUCCUACGGGAGGCAGCAGUGGGGAAUCUUGCACAAUGGAGGAAACUCUGAUGCAGCGAUGCCGCGUGAGUGAAGAAGGCCCUUGGGUUGUAAAGCUCUUUCGUCGGGGAAGAAAAUGACUGUACCCGAAUAAGAAGGUCCGGCUAACUUCGUGCCAGCAGCCGCGGUAAUACGAAGGGACCUAGCGUAGUUCGGAAUUACUGGGCUUAAAGAGUUCGUAGGUGGUUGAAAAAGUUAGUGGUGAAAUCCCAGAGCUUAACUCUGGAACUGCCAUUAAAACUUUUCAGCUAGAGUAUGAUAGAGGAAAGCAGAAUUUCUAGUGUAGAGGUGAAAUUCGUAGAUAUUAGAAAGAAUACCAAUUGCGAAGGCAGCUUUCUGGAUCAUUACUGACACUGAGGAACGAAAGCAUGGGUAGCGAAGAGGAUUAGAUACCCUCGUAGUCCAUGCCGUAAACGAUGUGUGUUAGACGUUGGAAAUUUAUUUUCAGUGUCGCAGGGAAACCGAUAAACACACCGCCUGGGGAGUACGACCGCAAGGUUAAAACUCAAAUGAAUUGACGGGGACCCGCACAAGUAGUGGAGCAUGUGGUUUAAUUCGAAGAUACGCGCCGAACCUUACCAACACUUGACAUGUUCGUCGCGACUCUAAGAGAUUAGAGUUUUCGGUUCGGCCGGACGAAACACAGGUGCUGCAUGGCUGUCGUCAGCUCGUGUCGUGAGAUGUUGGGUUAAGUCCCGCAACGAGCGCAACCCUCACUUUUAGUUGCCAUCAUUAAGUUGGGCACUCUGAAAGAACUGCCAGUGAUAAGCUGGAGGAAGGUGGGGAUGACGUCAAGUCCUCAUGGCCCUUACGUGUUGGGCUACACACGUGCUACAAUGGUAUCUACAACAGGAAGCAAGACUGCGAAGUUAAGCAAAUCCCUAAAAGAUACCUCAGUUCGGAUUGCACUCUGCAACUCGAGUGCAUGAAGCUGGAAUUACUAGUAAUCGUGGAUCAGCGUGCCACGGUGAAUGCGUUCCCGGGUCU